AUGUCUAAGUAUAAACGUUCAAUAAACGUGAAACCGCGAAUGGCUCAUUAAAACAGCUAUAAUUUACUUGAUUUUGACACAAUCCUACACUUGGAUAACUGUGGUAAUUCUAGAGCUAAUACAUGCAUUAAAGCUCUGACCUCCUCACGGAAAGAGUGCAUUUAUUAGAACAAAACCAAGCGGCUUCGGCUGUUUUCGGUUGACUCAUAGUAACUGAGCUGAUCGCAUGGUCUUGCACCGGCGACGUGUCUUUCAAGUAUCUGCCGUAUCAACUUUUGAUGGUUCUUUAUUGGAGAACCAUGGUUAUAACGGGUAACGGAGAAUUAGGGUUCGACUACGGAGAGGGAGCCUGAGAAACGGCUACCACAUCCAAGGAAGGCAGCAGGCGCGAAAAUUACCCACUCUCAGUGCGAGGAGGUAGUGACGAAAAAUAACAAGGCUGAUCGCUUUGCGAGCAGCUAUUGGAAUGGGUACAAUUUAAACCCUUUAACGAGGACCUAUGAGAGGGCAAGUCUGGUGCCAGCAGCCGCGGUAAUUCCAGCUCUCAAAAUGUACUUAACCAUUGUUGCGGUUAAAAAGCUCGUAGUUGGAUCUACGCUGCGCGGAACGGUUCGUUCAUUGAGCGUUAACUGUUUCACGUGGCUCUCUUUUGUCGGUUUUCGGCUAGUGCCCUUAACGGGGUGUUAGUUGCGGCUGACGCUUUUACCUUGAAUAAAUUAGAGUGCUUAAAACAGGCGUUUAGCUUGAAUAUGCUAGCAUGGAAUAAUGGAAUAGGACUUUGGUUCGAUUUUAUUGGUUUUAUGAAUUGAAGUAAUGAUUAGUAGGAUCAAACGGGGGCAUCCGUAUUGAUACGUGAGAGGUGAAAUUCUGGGACCGUAGCAAGACGACCGACUGCGAAAGCAUUUGCCAAGAAUG
RNAcentral lists this ribosomal RNA (915 nucleotides) under Steinernema affine. RNAcentral describes it as "bacterial SSU rRNA". It matches the Rfam family "Eukaryotic small subunit ribosomal RNA", at positions 55 to 966 of the family's 1831-position model. Lineage: Eukaryota; Metazoa; Nematoda; Chromadorea; Rhabditida; Steinernematidae. The record is from RNAcentral.